GUUGAAGUUAGUAACAUUGUGGCUGUGAACUAAUUGUCUCAAUAUUAGGCUAUAUUGAGUAGGAAAGGUACACUAUGAAAACUGCCCGUUCAUCAUGACGUAAUAUUAAAUUGCACAAUUACGUGUGCAAGUUCAACGUUGCUAGAAACUUAAAUUGGUUUGUUCCUAAGCUUCUGUAAUUAAAUUGCACAAUUACAUGUGCAAGUUCAACUUAAAUUGGUUUGUUCCUAAGCUUCUGUGGUAUUUGGCUUUGCAGCCUUGGGAAUUUUUAAACUUUGAUUUUAUGUAAAGGGAUAUCUUGGGUGAAAUGCAGUCCAGAUUUAAAUAACUGAAGCUUUUUGGAAUGGAGGGGCAGUGGAGAAAUGACGUGGUCAAUGAACAGGGCGCUAUAGUUGAUUGUUCUGGUGACAUCUGUGAUGGACUGUGGAUCAAUGGCUGCCCUGCUGGUACGUACGUUCAUUAUGCUCUCCAGUUAUUAACAAGUCUUUGACAUAAUACUUUGGUUGUCCCUCUUUUGAUUAAUAUGAUCUGACUAUAGUGU
This 541-nucleotide long non-coding RNA is filed under the name Calidris pugnax (ruff). RNAcentral describes it as "lncRNA (ENSCPUG00000005902.1)". Lineage: Eukaryota; Metazoa; Chordata; Aves; Charadriiformes; Scolopacidae. The record is from RNAcentral.